This 491-nucleotide ribosomal RNA is filed under the name uncultured bacterium. RNAcentral describes it as "partial 16S ribosomal RNA". It matches the Rfam family "Bacterial small subunit ribosomal RNA", at positions 28 to 507 of the family's 1533-position model. The record is from RNAcentral.
GAUGAACGCUAGCGAUAGGCUUAACACAUGCAAGUCGAGGGGCAGCAUGGUCUUAGCUUGCUAAGACUGAUGGCGACCGGCGCACGGGUGCGUAACGCGUAUGCAACUUGCCUCACAGAGGGGGAUAACCCGUCGAAAGACGGACUAAUACCGCGUACACUUGGGAUAGGGCAUCCUGACCCAAGGAAAUGAAAUUCGCUGUGAGAUAGGCAUGCGUCCCAUUAGCUAGUUGGUGAGGUAACGGCUCACCAAGGCGACGAUGGGUAGGGGAACUGAGAGGUUGAACCCCCCACACUGGUACUGAGACACGGACCAGACUCCUACGGGAGGCAGCAGUGAGGAAUAUUGGUCAAUGGGCGAGAGCCUGAACCAGCCAAGUCGCGUGAAGGAUGACUGUCUUAUGGAUUGUAAACUUCUUUUAUACGGGAAUAACAAGAGCCACGUGUGGCUCCCUGCAUGUACCGUAUGAAUAAGCAUCGGCUAACUCCGUG